GGUUUUUUUACUCUGUUUUCUCAUCCUUUCGUCGAAUUUCUCUCAUUUGCAAUCGGAGGAAACGAAGACGAACAAAUUCAGAGAACGAGAAGCUACAGAUGAUUCCAGUGCUUAUCCAAAUAUAGAUGAGGAUGAAUUGCUGAAUACACAAUGCCCCCAGCAUUUGGAGCUAAGAUGGCAGACAGAAGUUAGUUCUAGCGUGUAUGCCUCGCCCUUGAUAGCUGACAUUAACAGUGAUGGGAAGCUUGAGGUUAUAGUACCUUCGUUUGUUCAUUACUUGGAAGUUCUGGAAGGUUCUGAUGGAGAUAAACUGCCAGGAUGGCCAGCUUUUCAUCAAUCUACCAUUCAUUCCAGUCCUUUACUGUAUGACAUUGACAAGGAUGGAGUGAGGGAAAUCGGUUUGGCCACCUACAAUGGUGAGGUGCUCUUUUUCAGGGUGUCAGGAUACUUGAUGUCUGAUAAACUUGAGAUUCCUCGGUUGAAGGUCAAAAAGAAUUGGUAUGUGGGUUUGAAUUCAGUCCCUGUGGACCGUUCUCAUCCGGAUGUCCACGAUGACCAACUAAUCCAGGAGCACCUGAUGGAAUCUGUAGUCCGUCAUAAUUCAUCUAGUCACAGUGGCAACCAUUCAG
Molecule: unclassified non-coding RNA, 629 nt
Filed under: Hevea brasiliensis (rubber tree)
Lineage: Eukaryota; Viridiplantae; Streptophyta; Magnoliopsida; Malpighiales; Euphorbiaceae
Source: RNAcentral